RNAcentral lists this ribosomal RNA (439 nucleotides) under uncultured bacterium. RNAcentral's name for it is "bacterial SSU rRNA". It matches the Rfam family "Bacterial small subunit ribosomal RNA", at positions 340 to 773 of the family's 1533-position model. The record is from RNAcentral.
UACGGAAGGCAGCAGUGGGGAAUAUUGCACAAUGGGCGCAAGCCUGAUGCAGCCAUGCCGCGUGUAUGAAGAAGGCCUUCGGGUUGUAAAGUACUUUCAGUCGUGAGGAAGGUGUUAAGGUUAAUAACCUUAGCAAUUGACGUUAGCGACAGAAGAAGCACCGGCUAACUCCGUGCCAGCAGCCGCGGUAAUACGGAGGGUGCGAGCGUUAAUCGGAAUUACUGGGCGUAAAGGGCACGCAGGCGGUUAAUUAAGUUGGAUGUGAAAUCCCCGGGCUUAACCCGGGAAUGGCAUUCAAGACUGGUUAGCUAGAGUCUUGUAGAGGGGGUAGAAUUCCAUGUGUAGCGGUGAAAUGCGUAGAGAUGUGGAGGAAUACCGGUGGCGAAGGCGGCCCCUGGACAAAGGCUGACGCUCAUGUGCGAAAGCGUGGGGAGCAAAC